UUAUGGGCGCGAAAGUCCGGGCUGGGAUCGCGACAAACACCACCCUAUAGCUAGGGGUCCGAAAUUCAUGUUUUUUAGACGCCCUAAAGUAACCUCUGAGGCGUUUUGGGCGAUCCAUUUUUCUUUUUCUUUUUUUAUUUUUCCAAAAGGGGACCCCUAAAUCCGCCCCUGGCCUAGGCUAAUCAUAAUUUUUCCGCUCCUUUUCCCUGCGACGCGCACUGUUUUGUUUAUAAAAAACAAAAUAACGCCCUCUAUAAUUUCUGCCUUAAAUAAUUCCCUGGGGAACAUCCAUCCCAAAUGCAGGUACCAAAAGAAGUUGAUGCUCCUGGUGCAAGCCCUAUGCGCGCUGUGGCUUGCAUUCUUGAUACUGUUUUAUUUCACUUAUCGGUGAACCCUAUGCAAUAAAUCUUUAUAUGUAGAUAGCCAGAAUACUCAACGACUUAGGCCUAAAUGCCUAGCGAGGCCCAGCUGCUGCACAAGGGUGCGCAAAAUCACACACUCACAAGACGAACUUGUGAACAUGACUGCCAUCAUAUUUUGUAGUUGUACCCUGAUUGACUGGAGAACUUUGUCAAGCUUAUAGAAUUUCGACCUAUGUUUACAUUAUCAGGUCUAUGACUCAGCCAGUUUAUCCCUAGCAUCAUAGCUGCAACAUCACCCUCUCUUCACAAAAGUUUGAUUACCCUGCCAAUUUGUCUUAAACUGGAAAAAAACCUUUGCUGAUGCUACUGCCAAGGUAAAGCCUUCAUAAAUUUUGGAUGGGUAUAUAUAUCAAAGGGGAUCUAGACAGGUGGACUUUGCAGAGGUUGGAGCCCAUGAUGAAAAAAUGUGGAAAUUUCUUGCAAGUCAGGCAGUAAGUGCAGAAAUGCAUUGAUGCUGUCUAAUAAGUGAGUAAGUAUUUUUAUAUAUCAUCCACCAAUAAAUGCUCUGGGGGCACUUUCAGUUUCUGACAAAGAUGGCAUUAAUUCGUCCAUCGUCAAUGUGUUUUGAUACUGUUUAUAUAUAUUGUAGGCCUGUUGAGAUGGAAGACUUUCAAAAAUGGUAAAAAAUAAAUUUUUAACCUGGCCAUUGGAGAGAUCCUCUGCUAGUGAUACCAGCGAAAAGUUUGUACAGUUCUCCCUGGCAUACUGAACUACAGAAUAAAAGGAACACAUAUCACAGUAUUGCAUUGACAUGGUAUUUCAAUAUUAUAGAGAGCUUGUUUGCAAAAGGUGCCAAGUCCAUACGUAGGCUUAAUUUAGAGAUAAAUAUAAAUUUGUGAUUCCAUCAGAAAUUACUCUUUGUUGGCUGUUAAUGUUUAUAGUAACCAGAUCAGCUAGGUUUUGAUUAAAAACUGCCUUCUCUUGUCCCCAUCUUCACCUUCCUGAAACAAGAGUAAUAAUACACUAACGUUUUGAGGUUCGACUGCCACUUACCCAGGUCACGGAGGUAUAAUCAGUUUCCAAAGAUAAUAUUCAUGGCAUCAUCAAGAAUAUAUCAUAUCAGAGGGAUCACUUCAAGAGUAAUAUUUAAAAAAAACCUGCUUCGAAAGGUUAAUUCAUUUCACAGUCUUCAAAACUAUUUACAGAUUGUGGUUUGGAUUUGUUCUGAGUAGCUAGGUUCACAUUCAGAAUUUAACGUGAUCUAGUGGAUCAUGAUCAAGCCAGUCAUUUUAUGUGAACCAACCAGAAUCAAAUAACGUGCUCAGCUUAAUCACCUUAUUGUGAUCUAGUGGAACAUGUUG
Long non-coding RNA from Anneissia japonica, 1723 nucleotides. RefSeq lists it as uncharacterized. Lineage: Eukaryota; Metazoa; Echinodermata; Crinoidea; Comatulida; Comatulidae. The transcript is spliced from 3 exons. The record is from RefSeq and is a predicted model, not a curated record.